UGGGGAAUAUUGGACAAUGGGCGCAAGCCUGAUCCAGCCAUGCCGCGUGAGUGAUGAAGGCCCUAGGGUUGUAAAGCUCUUUUGUGCGGGAAGAUAAUGACGGUACCGCAAGAAUAAGCCCCGGCUAACUUCGUGCCAGCAGCCGCGGUAAUACGAAGGGGGCUAGCGUUGCUCGGAAUUACUGGGCGUAAAGGGUGCGUAGGCGGGUCUUUAAGUCAGAGGUGAAAUCCUGGAGCUCAACUCCAGAACUGCCUUUGAUACUGAGGUUCUUGAGUUCGGGAGAGGUGAGUGGAACUGCGAGUGUAGAGGUGAAAUUCGUAGAUAUUCGCAAGAACACCAGUGGCGAAGGCGGCUCACUGGCCCGUUACUAACGCUGAGGCACGAAAGCGUGGGGAGCAAACAGG
RNAcentral lists this ribosomal RNA (404 nucleotides) under Bacillota bacterium. RNAcentral describes it as "Firmicutes bacterium partial 16S ribosomal RNA". It matches the Rfam family "Bacterial small subunit ribosomal RNA", at positions 355 to 776 of the family's 1533-position model. The record is from RNAcentral. Lineage: Bacteria; Bacillati; Bacillota.